UGACUUCUAGAGUAAUUGGCAACUCGGCUCUUUUUGGUAGAGUAGAUUCCCUGUUCGAAUCAGGGGAAGUCAG
RNAcentral lists this transfer RNA (73 nucleotides) under Trichosporon inkin. Its description in RNAcentral is "tRNA-Gln". Lineage: Eukaryota; Fungi; Basidiomycota; Tremellomycetes; Trichosporonales; Trichosporonaceae. The record is from RNAcentral.